ACCCGAGGAAAAGAAAUCAACCGAGAUUCCCCCAGUAGCGGCGAGCGAACGGGGAGGAGCCCAGAGCCUGAAUCAGCAUGUGUGUUAGUGGAAGCGUCUGGAAAGGCGCGCGAUACAGGGUGACAGCCCCGUACACAAAAGCGCAUGUGCUGUGAGCUCGAUGAGUAGGGCGGGACACGUGGUAUCCUGUCUGAAUAUGGGGGGACCAUCCUCCAAGGCUAAAUACUACUGACUGACCGAUAGUGAACCAGUACCGUGAGGGAAAGGCGAAAAGAACCCCGGCGAGGGGAGUGAAAAAGAACCUGAAACCGUGUACGUACAAGCAGUGGGAGCACCCUUCGGGGUGUGACUGCGUACCUUUUGUAUAAUGGGUCAGCGACUUAUAUUCUGUAGCAAGGUUAACCGUAUAGGGGAGCCGGAGGGAAACCGAGUCUUAACCGGGCGUUAAGUU
Molecule: ribosomal RNA, 451 nt
Filed under: Leptospira borgpetersenii serovar Hardjo-bovis
Lineage: Bacteria; Pseudomonadati; Spirochaetota; Leptospiria; Leptospirales; Leptospiraceae
Description: partial 23S ribosomal RNA
Rfam family: Bacterial large subunit ribosomal RNA
Source: RNAcentral